RNAcentral lists this ribosomal RNA (402 nucleotides) under bacterium. RNAcentral describes it as "partial 16S ribosomal RNA". It matches the Rfam family "Bacterial small subunit ribosomal RNA", at positions 355 to 776 of the family's 1533-position model. The record is from RNAcentral.
UGGGGAAUUUUGCACAAUGGGGGAAACCCUGAUGCAGCGACGCCGCGUGAUUUAGAAGGCCUUCGGGUUGUAAAAAUCUUUUCUAUGGGAAGAAAAUGACAGUACCAUAGGAAUAAGGACCGGCUAAUUACGUGCCAGCAGCCCCGGUAAUACGUAAGGUCCGAGCGUUGUCCGGAAUCAUUGGGCGUAAAGGGUACGUAGGCGGGUAAGCAAGUUAGAAGUGAAAUCCUAUAGCUCAACUAUAGUAAGCUUUUAAAACUGCUCAUCUUGAGGUAUGGAAGGGAAAGUGGAAUUCCUAGUGUAGCGGUGAAAUGCGCAGAUAUUAGGAGGAAUACCGGUGGCGAAGGCGACUUUCUGGCCAUAACCUGACGCUGAGGUACGAAAGCGUGGGUAGCAAACAGG